GAAUCCGUUGGCUUGCCUCCGGCAUUUUUGGCCCUUGCCUUUUAGGGUUGCCAGAUUAAAAGACAGGAUGCCCAGCUAGUUUGAAUUUUAGAUAAACAACGAAUAAUUUCGUAGCGUAAAUAUGUCCCAAGCUUAGUUUGGGACAUACUUAUGCUAAAAAACAUUAUUGGUUGUUUAUCUGAGAUUCAGAAUUAAGCAUUUUAUAUUUUAUUUGCUGCCUCUGGCCACCCUACUCUCUUCCUAACACUCUCUCCCUCUCCCAGUUUUGUCCGCCUUCCCUGCCUCCUCUUCUGGGGGAGUUAGAUCGAGUUGUAACAAGAACAUGCCACUGUCUCGCUGGCUGCAGCGUGUGGUCCCCUUACCAGAGUGAGGAUGCGAAGAGAAGGUGGCUGUCUGCAAACCAGGAAGAGAGCCCUCACCGGGAACCCGUCCAGCUGCCACCUUGAACUUGGACUUCCAAGCCUCCAGAACUGUGAGGGAUAAAUGUGCUGCAUCAGAGUCCCAGGUGGGAAGAAGGCAAGCAUACACAAAAAUGGUAAAAGGCAGAAAGGAGCCCAG
This is a long non-coding RNA of Homo sapiens (human), 558 nucleotides long. RefSeq lists it as uncharacterized. Lineage: Eukaryota; Metazoa; Chordata; Mammalia; Primates; Hominidae. The record is from RefSeq and is a predicted model, not a curated record. The transcript is spliced from 3 exons.